UUGACUUAGAUUUGUAUGGAGUUGGAAUGUUUGCCUACGUUUGCCGCUAGGGGCGCUGUUCCAACUGCAUACAAAUUUGGAGUU
Molecule: microRNA precursor, 84 nt
Filed under: Bombyx mori (domestic silkworm)
Lineage: Eukaryota; Metazoa; Arthropoda; Insecta; Lepidoptera; Bombycidae
Description: mir-2807 microRNA precursor family
Rfam family: mir-2807 microRNA precursor family
Source: Rfam by way of RNAcentral